RNAcentral lists this ribosomal RNA (249 nucleotides) under Boletinellus merulioides. RNAcentral describes it as "partial 28S ribosomal RNA". It matches the Rfam family "Eukaryotic large subunit ribosomal RNA", at positions 104 to 344 of the family's 3401-position model. Lineage: Eukaryota; Fungi; Basidiomycota; Agaricomycetes; Boletales; Boletinellaceae. The record is from RNAcentral.
AGAGCUCAAAUUUUGAAUCUGGCGGUCUCGUGGCCGUCCGAGUUGUAAUCUAGAGAAGCGUUUUCCGCGCUGGACCGUGUAUAAGUCUCCUGGAAGGGAGCUGUCGUAGAGGGUGAGAAUCCCGUCUUUGACACGGACUACCAGGGCUAUGUGAUGCGCUCUCGACGAGUCGAGUUGUUUGGGAAUGCAGCUCAAAUCGGGUGGUAAAUUCCAUCUAAAGCUAAAUACAGGCGAGAGACCGAUAGCGAA